ACGCUCGACACCUACGGGAGCAGCAGUGGGGAAUAUUGGGCAAUGGGCGCAAGCCUGACCCAGCAACGCCGCGUGAAGGAAGAAGGCUUUCGGGUUGUAAACUUCUUUUCUCAGGGACGAAGGAAGUGACGGUACCUGAGGAACAAGCCACGGCUAACUACGUGCCGCAGCCGCCGGUAAUACUGAGCGGGCGUGGCGAAGGACG
Molecule: ribosomal RNA, 205 nt
Filed under: uncultured bacterium
Lineage: Bacteria
Description: partial 16S ribosomal RNA
Rfam family: Bacterial small subunit ribosomal RNA
Source: RNAcentral